AAGUAAUUCAUUUUUAUUUUUUAAGAAACACCCCAAAAUAAAAAACCACUGACUCAUCCAUGCCAAACUGCACUUUCCAGAGGAAGCAUGUCAGCAGACUCAAACGGACAAUGGAUAGAAUCCCAUGACACCAAAGUCAUUCAAACCUGAUGCUUUAGAGGCUGACAUUCUGAGCUGAAAUAGCUACAGGUCACCACUUGGCCCCAUCUGGGACUCUCCCUUCUUUUUAGUCUAUUCAUGUGGUGGCAGAAGAUGUGAGACUCUUUCUAGUCUCCAGUCAGGGAGGCUUCUCCUGUUAUAGAAAAAUAUUAGAGUCUAGGCUUGACUUAGCGGUGGGUGAGCUAUAUUAAGAAUCACAUCCUGCUUCUUCAAAGUCUAGACGAUGUAUUUGUAGUUCUGGCUUCUCUCAGGGCUUGUGGAUCUCAGGGACCAGAGAGCUUUUAGUCCUUUUAUGGAUGGGUUCACUAUGACUCUUAAAAUCUUUUCUCAUUGAAAUUAGCCAGCAUAAUUUGACAGACACUCAGAAAAACACCCUAAUCAUAUUAGGCUGAAGGCCAGGUAUAGAGGUAAAUUCUUUAAAAGUUUGGGCUUCGGGAAGUAUAGGUUGAAGGUGAAAAUGGGAUAUGUUAAAAUGGGGAUAUUAAAAAUAUAUUUAAAACUGGGAGGCUAAUCUCUGGCAGAGCAGAACUCUUCUUUGAUUUGCCAAUCCCUGGCCUCUUCUUACUCCUUAUUUGUACUGACUCCAGGUUUUCCAUAGCAUGGAUGCCUGCCGCUGCUCUAAGCCUAAUAAGUUAUAGCACUCUACAGACUGAUCACCUAGACUGAAGACACGGAGGGAAACAUGUUUUGGCAAUUCCACCUGGCUCAAGGUAUAAGUAUGUAUUUUUAAUUUUCAGAGGAGAAAAAGCAUACAGAGGCAGUCUAGAACAAUCAUUGUCACCUUUCCAACUUCCGUGUUGAUGACAUCAAUAACAGAUGCAAAAGAAAUAAUUAAAAAUAAAGGAGAAAGAAUUUUCCAUGAUUCACCAAAGUAGUAGGAGUAUUCUGUCAGGAAAGCUUAGAAGCAUUUAUCAGCUGCUACCUAAAAUUUAGCAUUUAACUUUAAUUAUGCCUAGUUACGAAUUAAGCAAAACAGAAAGUGUUUUAACAUGACUAGCUGCUACAGAUCAAAAUAGUUUCACAGUAGAAAUUUUUAUUUUUUUAUUGUUCUUUUUUUGAUUAUGCAAUAAGCCCCCUUCUUAACAGAUUAAAUGUCACAAAAACUAAAAUGUAAUGACAUUAGCCAGCUAACCUGUCAGCCCCAACUCCCUUAAACACUGAGGAAUAAAGCAUACUAAUAUGGUCAUAAGUCAAACUUCCUCUGGGAAAGAAGAUUAAGGCUAGACUCUUUCAGAGCCCCUGGGGGACAGAAGCAGAAUUCUUACAUCAUAGUUAGGUUUUGGUGAUAUUCAUUUUUUUCAUUAUUAUCAAGGUAACUGUAUCUAACACUAGACCAGAAGAAAGUGUCCUUACAUAAUCCUUAUCUGAUUACCCUUUCCAAAAAGAAGACAUCAGAGACUGUGCAGGUCAACUUAAAAGAAGAGGCAAGCAUGCUCCUGGUUCAUGGAAGGAAAUGAGCUUCCAUUAUCUGCACAUGAUCAGCGGCCAUCAAAAUCUGUUAAUUCAGAACAAUAUGAAGACAUGGGCCUGCCCAUUUUAAGCUUACUUUCUAAUCUAAGCAGAAAUCAUGAUAGCACAUGAUGAAAGAGUACAUCAAUAACUCUGAGGGUAGAAGGUAGGAUAGAAUACAAGAGGAUGAGCGGUAUUAGGUGGAUUAGCCAAUUUUCCAUAUUGGAAGAAAAAAUGAGGCUGGGCACGGUGGCUCACGCCUAUAAUCUCAGCACUUUGAGAGGCUAAGGCGCAUAGAUCACUUGAGCCCAGGAGUUCAAGACCAGCUCAAGCAACAUGGUGAAACUCCCCCUCUACAGAUAUACAAAAAAUUAGCCAGGCAUGGUAGCACAUGACUGUAGUCCCAGUUACUUUGGAGGUUGAGGUGGGAGAAUCACCUGAGUCUGGGAGGUUGAGGCUGCAGUGAGACAAUACUAUGCCACUCCACUCCAGCCUGGACGACAGAGUGAGACUCUGUCUCAAAAAGUAAAAAUAAAGAAAAAGAAAAAAUGACUUGGAGAAUGAAACCAAAAUUCUAACCCAACUCUCACCAUGUCAGAAACAAUUUGGAAAUUCAAUUUUGUUAAUUU
Molecule: long non-coding RNA, 2237 nt
Filed under: Macaca fascicularis (crab-eating macaque)
Lineage: Eukaryota; Metazoa; Chordata; Mammalia; Primates; Cercopithecidae
Description: lncRNA (ENSMFAG00000048532.1)
Source: RNAcentral